RNAcentral lists this ribosomal RNA (296 nucleotides) under uncultured Lactobacillus sp. RNAcentral's name for it is "partial 16S ribosomal RNA". It matches the Rfam family "Bacterial small subunit ribosomal RNA", at positions 349 to 637 of the family's 1533-position model. The record is from RNAcentral. Lineage: Bacteria; Bacillati; Bacillota; Bacilli; Lactobacillales; Lactobacillaceae.
UAGCAGUAGGGAAUCUUCCACAAUGGACGAAAGUCUGAUGGAGCAACGCCGCGUGAGUGAAGAAGGGUUUCGGCUCGUAAAGCUCUGUUGGUAGUGAAGAAAGAUAGAGGUAGUAACUGGCCUUUAUUUGACGGUAAUUACUUAGAAAGUCACGGCUAACUACGUGCCAGCAGCCGCGGUAAUACGUAGGUGGCAAGCGUUGUCCGGAUUUAUUGGGCGUAAAGCGAGUGCAGGCGGUUCAAUAAGUCUGAUGUGAAAGCCUUCGGCUCAACCGGAGAAUUGCAUCAGAAACUGUU